RNAcentral lists this antisense RNA (75 nucleotides) under Actinoalloteichus hymeniacidonis. RNAcentral's name for it is "ASpks TB sRNA". It matches the Rfam family "ASpks TB sRNA". The record is from RNAcentral. Lineage: Bacteria; Bacillati; Actinomycetota; Actinomycetes; Pseudonocardiales; Pseudonocardiaceae.
UUUGAUGGAGCCCAGUAACAGCGGCCGAUCCGAGGGGCGGUCCGCGCCGUAGGUGGCGAGCAGCGCCUGCGCCUC